Molecule: long non-coding RNA, 1058 nt
Organism: Fukomys damarensis (Damara mole-rat)
Lineage: Eukaryota; Metazoa; Chordata; Mammalia; Rodentia; Bathyergidae
Exons: 3
Source: RefSeq, a predicted model, not a curated record
GCACAGGGUGGAGGCCGCCAUCUUGGGCCGGGAGCGGCAGCGCUUCCGGAUGACCGUUCUACAGGGACAGGGGUUCUAGUGGGGCACGUCGUUGACAGGAACCGAGAGAGCAGCGGGCGGGGCUGACACCUCUGGGGAAGGAGAAAGCAGAAGAGGCAGCCCGCCCGCACCAUCUUUUACACCAACAGAAAUGGAAGACUGCAUGAAAAAUCAAAUGGACAAUUUCGGCCGAGGUGAAAACAGAAGUGAAAAUUAAAAUUACAGAUUUAUGUUUUAAAAAGUGUCAAAGUUCUACAAGAUUUAUUGAAUAAAGUUCUUUGAGGAGAAGAAGCAUGACCUAAGACAGGAAAUUGAAUAUACACAAAUAAAUAUAAUGGAAUUAGACUAAAGGUAACAUAUGUUUUUAUUUCUCAGCUCAAGAAGUCUAAAAGACAACAGACAAUUUAAAGGAAAAGUAAUGGCAAGAUGGUCUGAGCAUCCAAUACAUGAGCAGUAAAUUAAACGCACCGAUGGAACAAGGGUGCGGGGGAGAGUGGGAAGCACAGCACUUCAGAUCCUUGAGCUGGGUGACAAUUUCAGGGACAACUGACUAACUAAAGAAGUUUGCUAUAAGUUAUAGGGUAUAAAAAAUGAUUCCGUAAAGGGAGUAACAUAGAAUCAUUAUAAAAACCUCAAUUCUAAGUCAGACAGGAAGUUAUAAAAAGCGUGGGAAUGCACCGGUAAAGAACAGCUCUGGGGGUGGGGUAUGAGCUGCUCAGCCACUCCUUGGGCCCAUGUGGGGAGCUGGGCCCUGUGUAGCAGGGUCAGAUGGGCCGCAGUAUCCUGGCCAAACUCCUGACGAAAGACCACGAGCGUGACUAAUACAAAACUAUCAUUUAACACCGUCGUGUAGGGGGUGGUUUGUUACCUAGAAUAAAUAAACAAUAAGUAGGAUAAAUAAAUAACUUGGACAUCUGAUAUUUACUAAAUUGCAAGAAACCAAAAAAUACAUAUAUUCACAUUAACCCAGACAAGAGCAUGUUUAGAAUAAGGAUGUAGGAACAUCUAAACCAUUUCGU